Molecule: long non-coding RNA, 516 nt
Organism: Mauremys mutica (yellowpond turtle)
Lineage: Eukaryota; Metazoa; Chordata; Testudines; Geoemydidae
Exons: 5
Source: RefSeq, a predicted model, not a curated record
CUGAAACGAUGCUUUCUAUAAGGUGGCAAUUUCAGGCAGUUGUGAAAUCAGUGGAGGCCAUUAAGGGGUACCUUUUUUUUUUCUGAAUAAGGAGAAGCCUCUCUGGUUCACAGCCCAAGAAAGUUUCAUAAGGGGUAGAAGACACAAAUAAAAGUUCAGGAGGGAUUCUGAUGAUCCACAACCAUGAUUUCGAUUAGAUUCCUACAAGCUUCCAGAAGUUUUCACCUGAUAUGACCUCCGGUAGCACUUGGGUCUUUAUAACGGGAAUGUUCAAACUUCAUGUUAGUGUUCUGAUACGGCACUCCACUGGGCAGCGAAGCACGGCAAUCUUGAGAUGGCAGAGAUGGUCGCCAAAGCAGGCGUCGAUGUCAAUGCUAAAUCGCAUGGGGUAAGUAAUACUUUAAUACACCUAUGAAAUGAGUCUGCCUUUUUCAUGAAUAUUCUGAAAGCAAGCUGUCACUGCAGUCAAUUGAUAUUCCUACGCUUCAUUGCAGAGAGGAGUGAACUUUUUAUGAC